UACAGGGGGUGCUAGCGUUGUUCGGAAUUACUGGGCGUAAAGGGCGCGUAGGCGGUUUUGAAAGUCAGGAGUGAAAUCCCGGAGCUUAACUUCGGAAUUGCUUUUGAAACUUCAAGGCUAGAGUGAGUUAGAGGAUGGCGGAAUUCCUAGUGUAGUGGUGAAAUACGUAGAUAUUAGGAAGAACACCGGUGGCGAAGGCGGCCAUCUGGGACUCAACUGACGCUGAGGCGCGAAAGCGUGGGGAUCAAACAGG
Molecule: ribosomal RNA, 253 nt
Filed under: uncultured bacterium
Lineage: Bacteria
Description: partial 16S ribosomal RNA
Rfam family: Bacterial small subunit ribosomal RNA
Source: RNAcentral